UGACGCCUGCCCAGUGAACGCCCAAGUUUUAACGGCCGCGGUAUCCUAACCGUGCAAAGGUAGCGUAAUCACUUGUCCUCUAAAUAGGGACCAGUAUGAACGGCUAAAUGAGGGCCCAACUGUCUCAUAUGACCACCCAAUGAAACUGAUCUCUCAGUACAAAAGCUGAGAUACCCCUACAAGACGAGAAGACCCUGUGGAACUUCAACUACAUUACCAACUCAACUUACCCGCAAUCCACAGGAUUGCUACACCCCCUGCGCCCAUUGGUAAAAGUUUAAGUUGGGGCAACUAUGGAGUAAAAACCAACCUCCACGUAACCAACUCCUAGGUUAACCAACCUAAGAAAAUACACUUUUUGACCCAGUAAUACUGAUCAACGAAACAAGCUACCCCAGGGAUAACAGCGCCAUCCCCUUUCAGAGUCCACAUCGCCAAGGGGGUUUACGACCUCGAUGUUGGAUCAGGGCUUCCUAGUAGUGUAGCCGCUA
Molecule: ribosomal RNA, 491 nt
Filed under: Ptyodactylus hasselquistii
Lineage: Eukaryota; Metazoa; Chordata; Lepidosauria; Squamata; Phyllodactylidae
Description: partial 16S ribosomal RNA
Rfam family: Bacterial large subunit ribosomal RNA
Source: RNAcentral